This 496-nucleotide ribosomal RNA is filed under the name uncultured bacterium. RNAcentral's name for it is "partial 16S ribosomal RNA". It matches the Rfam family "Bacterial small subunit ribosomal RNA", at positions 29 to 507 of the family's 1533-position model. The record is from RNAcentral.
AUGAACGCUGGCGGCGUGCCUAAUCCAUGCAAGUCGAGCGAACAGAUGAGGAGCUUGCUCCUCUGACGUUAGCGGCGGACGGGUGAGUAACACGUGGAUAACCUACCUAUAAGACUGGGAUAACUUCGGGAAACCGGAGCUAAUACCGGAUAAUAUAUUGAACCGCAUGGUUCAAUAGUGAAAGACGGUUUUGCUGUCACUUAUAGAUGGAUCCGCGCCGCAUUAGCUAGUUGGUAAGGUAACGGCUUACCAAGGCAACGAUGCGUAGCCGACCUGAGAGGGUGAUCGGCCACACUGGAACUGAGACACGGUCCAGACUCCUACGGGAGGCAGCAGUGGGGAAUCUUCCGCAAUGGGCGAAAGCCUGACGGAGCAACGCCGCGUGAGUGAUGAAGGUCUUCGGAUCGUAAAACUCUGUUAUUAGGGAAGAACAAAUGUGUAAGUAACUAUGCACGUCUUGACGGUACCUAAUCAGAAAGCCACGGCUAACUACGUG